CCUACGGGAGGCUGCAGUGGGGAAUUUUGGACAAUGGGCGAAAGCCUGAUCCAGCCAUUCCGCGUGAGUGAAGAAGGCCUUCGGGUUGUAAAGCUCUUUCGGCAGGAACGAAAUGGUUGCGGUUAAUAACCGCGACUUCUGACGGUACCUGAAGAAGAAGCACCGGCUAACUACGUGCCAGCAGCCGCGGUAAUACCUAGGGUGCGAGCGUUAAUCAGAAUUACUGGGGGGAAUUCGUGCGCAGGAUGUUAAAGCCCCGGGCUUAACCUGGGAAUGGCGUUUGAAACUACAAGGCUAGAGUGUGUCAGAGGGGGGUAGAAUUCCACGUGUAGCAGUGAAAUGCGUAGAGAUGUGGAGGAAUACCGAUGGCGAAGGCAGCCCCCUGGGAUAACACUGACGCUCAUGCACGAAAGCGUGGGGAGCAAACAGGAUUAGAUACCCCGGUAGUC
Molecule: ribosomal RNA, 449 nt
Filed under: uncultured bacterium
Lineage: Bacteria
Description: partial 16S ribosomal RNA
Rfam family: Bacterial small subunit ribosomal RNA
Source: RNAcentral